AGUUUGAUCAUGGCUCAGGAUGAACGCUAGCGGCAGGCUUAACACAUGCAAGUCGAGGGGUAACAGGGAUUGCUUGCAAUCCGCUGACGACCGGCGCACGGGUGCGUAACGCGUAUGCAACCUACCUUUUACAAGGGGAUAGCCCAGAGAAAUUUGGAAUAAUACCCUAUACGAUCAUUAAUUGGCAUCAAUUAAUGAAGAAAACUCCGGUGGUAAAAGAUGGGCAUGCGUCCUAUUAGUUAGUUGGUAAGGUAACGGCUUACCAAGACUCCGAUAGGUAGGGGUCCUGAGAGGGAGAUCCCCCACACUGGUACUGAGACACGGACCAGACUCCUACGGGAGGCAGCAGUGAGGAAUAUUGGACAAUGGAGGCAACUCUGAUCCAGCCAUGCCGCGUGCAGGAAGACGGCCCUACGGGUUGUAAACUGCUUUUAUACAGGAAGAACUAUAUCUACGUGUAGAUAUUUGACGGUACUGUACGAAUAAGGAUCGGCUAACUCCGUGCCAGCAGCCGCGGUAAUACGGAGGAUCCAAGCGUUAUCCGGAAUCAUUGGGUUUAAAGGGUCCGUAGGCGGUCUAAUAAGUCAGAGGUGAAAUCCUACAGCUCAACUGUAGCAUUGCCUUUGAUACUGUUAGACUUGAGUUAUUGUGAAGUAGUUAGAAUGUGUAGUGUAGCGGUGAAAUGCAUAGAUAUUACACAGAAUACCGAUUGCGAAGGCAGAUUACUAACAAUAUACUGACGCUGAGGGACGAAAGCGUGGGUAGCGAACAGGAUUAGAUACCCUGGUAGUCCACGCCGUAAACGAUGGAUACUAGCUGUUCGAUCAACAUUGGUUGGUUGAGUGGCUAAGCGAAAGUGAUAA
Molecule: ribosomal RNA, 863 nt
Filed under: uncultured bacterium
Lineage: Bacteria
Description: bacterial SSU rRNA
Rfam family: Bacterial small subunit ribosomal RNA
Source: RNAcentral